Molecule: ribosomal RNA, 506 nt
Filed under: uncultured bacterium
Lineage: Bacteria
Description: partial 16S ribosomal RNA
Rfam family: Bacterial small subunit ribosomal RNA
Source: RNAcentral
AUUGAACGCUGGCGGCAGGCCUAACACAUGCAAGUCGGACGGUAGCACAGAGGAGCUUGCUCCUCGGGUGACGAGUGGCGGACGGGUGAGUAAUGUCUGGGAAUCUGCCCGAUGGAGGGGGAUAACUACUGGAAACGGUAGCUAAUACCGCAUAACGUCUUCGGACCAAAGUGGGGGACCUUCGGGCCUCACACCAUCGGAUGUGCCCAGAUGGGAUUAGCUAGUAGGUGGGGUAAUGGCUCACCUAGGCGACGAUCCCUAGCUGGUCUGAGAGGAUGACCAGCCACACUGGAACUGAGACACGGUACAGACUCCUACGGGAGGCAGCAGUGGGGAAUAUUGCACAAUGGGCGCAAGCCUGAUGCAGCCAUGCCGCGUGUAUGAAGAAGGCCUUCGGGUUGUAAAGUACUUUCAGCGGGGAGGAAGGCGAUGGAGUUAAUAGCUUCAUCGAUUGACGUUACCCGCAGAAGAAGCACCGGCUAACUCCGUGCCAGCCGCCGCGGUAA